AAGAACAAAGGAAGAAAAGAAAGAACAAGAACCCUUGGUGGAAAAUUCAAGAGAAAAUUGGUGGAUUUCAAGUAAUCAAGCAAUCAAAGGUAAAAUUUCUUGAGUUUAGCUUGUGAUCUACCUUUCCCAUGCAUUCUUUUUCAUUUUCCAUGGUUGAGAAUCAAGUUUGCAUAAGGAUACCCUUGCUGGUCGGACAUGGGGGGAGGAGUUUUGAUGCUUGAUUUGGUUAGAUUUCAAUGUAUUUUAGUGUUUUUAGUUAGUUAGUGAUGUGUAGCAUGAAAAGCCAACAAGAAAAAUUCAUUUUCUCCCAUCACCAAUCAUUGGCCGAAUUUUCCUUGUAGAGUGUUGAUGGUGGAUUUAAUUUUAUUUCAAGUGAAUUGGUUAGGAAAUGAUGAAUUAUGGUGAGAAAAUCUAGGAAAAAUCAUAGUGUUGAUGCACUCACCAUGGCCGAAAUUCUUAAGAAGAAAUGUGAGGAUAGUUUUGCUAAAUUUUAUGUUAUUUGACUUGUGUUUGGUGAUUUAAAGAAUUGGGAGAAAAAUGGAAUUAAUUGGAGUUGAAUUGGACAUAUUGGCCAAUUAAUCGGGUGAUAGAUCGAAUUAGGCCAAUACCGAUUUAUUUUGGUACACAAUUGAAUUUGUGUAGAACAUCGUGUUUAGACGAUAAUUUGAACGAUUUGCAUUCCAUUUCAUGCAUUAGUAAAGAGCUUGAAAUAGAUUUAUAAUGGUAUGACACAAUAUAUUAAAUUGUGUGUCGUGUAUUGUAUAUAGGUGGUGAGCCCUCUAACAAGGGUAAAGACGUUGUGUCAGAGGACUGAGAAUAGGAAUAUUUCAAACUCCUGAUACAGUGAGUAACCUUAUCAUCAUCUUGAUUAUCUGAAGUGAAUUUUAAUUCAUUUUUGUGAUUUUAUGAAAAAUGAGUUUAAAUGGUUAAUUUUUAGGUUUUAUAAGCAAAACUGUGAUUAAAUGAAAUGAUUUUAUAAAAUUGUCUUGAAAUUGAAUGAUGGUUUUGAAAAUGGAGUAAUUGGAGACUAAUUGCUGUGUUAUAAAUCAUGGUUUGAAUUGAAUGGCUUAUGAUAAUAUUGGCAUGAAUGGUUGAAUUAGUAAAUGUGCUGAAAAUGUAUGAACUAUUAAUUUGCCUUGAGAGGCUGUAAAAUAAAAUAAUUGCCAUGUAAUGCUAUUGAAUUUUAUUGAAUUGGUGGGUUAUAUAUUGGUCACUGCAGUGGACAGGUUUCGUGGACCAGCCUAUUAAAGGGGCACGGUAACCCUAUUAUAUUCUUACCUCAGUAUGAGGGGCGCGGAUGGAUAACUCUUGAGGUUAACACUUUGGAGUUCACUUCACGCUAAACCACCAUGUGAGGGUGAACUCAUCCAACGCCAAGGAACGGCUAUGUUUUCUAAAUAAAAACAUGAUUUAUGUGUACAUAACUUUUUAACAGCCUUGGUGGACUCGGUUGGGAUAACGCUAGGCCAAGGUAUCCCUAAUAUCUAAGUAUGAGAAUGAUUUUGGCACAAGCCAAACUUUUUAGGAAAUCAUAAGCCUCGUUGUUUAUUUUGGUGAAAUGAAUCUAUUUUAUCUUAUUAAAAUGAGUUCAAAAUGUUGAGAAUCAUUUUUAUACUCAACUAUUUUAUCUGUCUCUAUUUACUCAGCUUUAGAUAUUUUAGAUGGUAUUUGUUUACUCAUUGGGAUUUUAUAAUCUCACCACC
Molecule: long non-coding RNA, 1703 nt
Filed under: Theobroma cacao (cacao)
Lineage: Eukaryota; Viridiplantae; Streptophyta; Magnoliopsida; Malvales; Malvaceae
Description: long non-coding RNA (TCAC_LNC003800)
Source: RNAcentral